This 433-nucleotide ribosomal RNA is filed under the name uncultured bacterium. Its description in RNAcentral is "partial 16S ribosomal RNA". It matches the Rfam family "Bacterial small subunit ribosomal RNA", at positions 29 to 507 of the family's 1533-position model. The record is from RNAcentral.
AGCGAACGCUGGCGGCAGGCCUAACACAUGCAAGUCGAACGAACCUUUCGGGGUUAGUGGCGGACGGGUGAGUAACACGUGGGAACGUGCCUUUAGGUUCGGAAUAACUCAGGGAAACUUGUGCUAAUACCGAAUGUGCCCUUCGGGGGAAAGAUUUAUCGCCUUUAGAGCGGCCCGCGUCUGAUUAGCUAGUUGGUUGAGGUAAUGGCUCACCAAGGCGACGAUCAGUAGCUGGUCUGAGAGGAUGAUCAGCCACAUUGGGACUGAGACACGGCCCAAACUCCUACGGGAGGCAGCAGUGGGGAAUCUUCGCAAUGGGCGAAAGCCUGACGCAGCCAUGCCGCGUGAAUGAUGAAGGUCUUAGGAUUGUAAAAUUCUUUCACCGGGGACGAUAAUGACGGUACCCGGAGAAGAAGCCCCGGCUAACUUCGUG